Molecule: ribosomal RNA, 119 nt
Filed under: Phascolarctos cinereus (koala)
Lineage: Eukaryota; Metazoa; Chordata; Mammalia; Diprotodontia; Phascolarctidae
Source: RNAcentral
UAUUAUGGUUAUACAACCUUGAGUGUGCCUAAUCUCAUCUGAUCUUGGAAGCUAAACAGGUUCAGGACUGGUUUGUGCUUGGAUGGGAGGGCACCUUGGACUACUGAGUGUUGGAAACU